AUGCAAGUGUUAUCCGGAAUCACUGGGCGUAAACGUCUGUAGGUUGUUGUUUAAGUCAACUGUUAAAUCUUGAAGCUCAACUUCGAAAUCGCAGUCGAAACUAUUCAACUAGAGUAUAGUAGGGGUAAAGGGAAUUUCCAGUGGAGCGGUGAAAUGCGUAGAUAUUGGAAAGAACACCGAUGGCGAAGGCACUUUACUGGGCUACUACUGACACUCAGAGACGAAAGCUAGGGUAGCAAAUGGGAUUAGAUACCCCAGUAGUCCUAGCUGUAAACAAUGGAUACUAGAUGUUGAACAGAUCGACCUGUGCAGUAUCAAAGCUAACGCGUUAAGUAUCCCGCCUGGGAAGUAUGCUCGCAAGAUGAAACUCAAAUGGAAUU
This 380-nucleotide ribosomal RNA is filed under the name uncultured diatom. RNAcentral describes it as "bacterial SSU rRNA". It matches the Rfam family "Bacterial small subunit ribosomal RNA", at positions 532 to 911 of the family's 1533-position model. The record is from RNAcentral. Lineage: Eukaryota; Bacillariophyta.